AGCUCCGCCACUGCGCGCGCUCCAGCGCCCCAGAAGGCAGGGGGCAGCCCGGGGACCGGGGUCCCGGAGCCCCGUGGGAGGCGGGCAACACCUGUCGGGACCCGAGGGCGUGUCUGAGAUUGUGGCCUGAGGUGCUGCGCCUUCCGAUCCGGGGCAGCGGGCGUCCUGUAGCUGCGCCUUCCGAAUCCAGCCCAGAUUCUCCUACCAGCUGCUUGGGUCACGUCGGUGGAACUCCUAAAGGGAUGCCUUCAAAAUGUGUGAAUAAGCUUCAAUCAGACUGCCCUUCCCAAAGAAAAUAACUAUAAAUGCUGGAAAAACUACAAAACAGCCACCUGAAGGCACUGGCGAGAGACAAAAGCAAGCAAAUUCUGGAGAAGAGUCAACACUUGGAAGAAGGGAGCUGCACUGGGUACAUGGGGAAGGAACAGUGUCUCUGCAUGAGAAUGGCCAAAGAACAAGAUACAUUUCCCCGUGGAGAGCAAUCCUAGAGAGAGGGAAGCAUGGGUCAGAAUAAGGUGUACUGGCCCCAGGGUAAUAGCAUGUAUUUCUGUUGCAUUGGUGUUUCCAAAAUAAUGCUUCGGUUCCAAGUUUCAGGAAUUGGUUGGGGGAGCAUGGGGAUCAUACAGUGAUUCAGGAGCUUCCUUGCAAGUAAGUGAGUGAGCCAAUCAAAUAAUUUAUGUUUAAAUCUUUCACUGUGUUAAAUGUUGAAAAAUAAAGCAAGUGAAUUCCAAAAAAAAAAAAAAA
RNAcentral lists this long non-coding RNA (744 nucleotides) under Homo sapiens (human). Its description in RNAcentral is "DPP10 antisense RNA 1 (DPP10-AS1)". The record is from RNAcentral. Lineage: Eukaryota; Metazoa; Chordata; Mammalia; Primates; Hominidae.